Molecule: ribosomal RNA, 499 nt
Filed under: uncultured bacterium
Lineage: Bacteria
Description: bacterial SSU rRNA
Rfam family: Bacterial small subunit ribosomal RNA
Source: RNAcentral
GAUGAACGCUAGCGGCAGGCUUAACACAUGCAAGUCGAGGGGCAGCAUGACGGAACCUUCGGGUUUUGUUGAUGGCGACCGGCGCAAGGGUGCGUAACGCGUGAGCAACUUGCCCGUUUCUGGGGAAUAACCGGUGGAAACGCCGACUAAUACCCCAUAGUAUCAUUAUUAGGCAUCUUUUGAAGUUGAAAGUUCAGGCGGUUAUGGAUGGGCAUGCGUUGUAUUAGCUAGAUGGUGAGGUAACGGCUCACCAUGGCUACGAUACAUAGGGGGACUGAGAGGUUAACCCCCCCACACUGGUACUGAGACACGGACCAGACUCCUACGGGAGGCAGCAGUGAGGAAUAUUGGUCAAUGGACGCAAGUCUGAACCAGCCAUGCCGCGUGCAGGAUGACGGCUCUAUGAGUUGUAAACUGCUUUUGUACAAGGGUAAACCCUGGGACGUGUCCCAGGCUGAAAGUACUGUACGAAUAAGGAUCGGCUAACUCCGUGCCAGCA